RNAcentral lists this ribosomal RNA (442 nucleotides) under uncultured bacterium. Its description in RNAcentral is "bacterial SSU rRNA". It matches the Rfam family "Bacterial small subunit ribosomal RNA", at positions 199 to 632 of the family's 1533-position model. The record is from RNAcentral.
GGGGAUCGCAAGACCUUGCGCUMUNGGAGCGGCCGAUGUCWGAUUAGCUAGUUGGUGGGGUAAAGGCUCACCAAGGCGACGAUCAGUAGYUGGUCUGAGAGGAYGACCAGCCACACUGGGACUGAGACACGGCCCAGACUCCUACGGGAGGCAGCAGUGGGGAAUUUUGGACAAUGGGCGCAAGCCUGAUCCAGCAAUGCCGCGUGAGUGAAGAAGGCCUUCGGGUUGUAAAGCUCUUUCAGUCGAGAAGAAAAGGCUGUGACUAAUAAUCAUAGCUCAUGACGGUAUCGACAGAAGAAGCACCGGCUAACUACGUGCCAGCAGCCGCGGUAAUACGUAGGGUGCRAGCGUUAAUCGGAAUUACUGGGCGUAAAGGGUGCGCAGGCGGUUUUGUAAGUCAGAUGUGAAAUCCCCGGGCUUAACCUGGGAACUGCGUUUGAAA